AUAGCUCAAAUUUGAAAUCUGGCGUCUUCGACGUCCGAGUUGUAAUUUGUAGAGGAUGCUUCUGAGUAACCACCGACCUAAGUUCCUUGGAACAGGACGUCAUAGAGGGUGAGAAUCCCGUAUGCGGUCGGAAAGGUGCUCUACACGUAGCUCCUUCGACGAGUCGAGUUGUUUGGGAAUGCAGCUCUAAAUGGGAGGUAAAUUUCUUCUAAAGCUAAAUAUUGGCCAGAGACCGAUAGCGCACAAGUAGAGUGAUCGAAAGAUGAAAAGCACUUUGGAAAGAGAGUUAAAAAGCACGUGAAAUUGUUAAAAGGGAAGGGAUUGCAACCAGACUUGCUCGCGGUGUUCCGCCGGUCUUCUGACCGGUCUACUCGCCGCGUUGCAGGCCAGCAUCGUCUGGUGCCGCUGGAUAAGACUUGAGGAAUGUAGCUCCCUCGGGAGUGUUAUAGCCUCUUGUGAUGCAGCGAGCGCCGGGCGAGGUCCGCGC
Molecule: ribosomal RNA, 487 nt
Filed under: Cladosporium sp. 6 SG-2017
Lineage: Eukaryota; Fungi; Ascomycota; Dothideomycetes; Cladosporiales; Cladosporiaceae
Description: eukaryotic LSU rRNA
Rfam family: Eukaryotic large subunit ribosomal RNA
Source: RNAcentral